RNAcentral lists this long non-coding RNA (250 nucleotides) under Lathyrus oleraceus (garden pea). RNAcentral describes it as "Pisum sativum (pea) long non-coding RNA (PSAT_LNC016213)". The record is from RNAcentral. Lineage: Eukaryota; Viridiplantae; Streptophyta; Magnoliopsida; Fabales; Fabaceae.
GAAGAGAAGGGCUAAUCCUAAAGCCUACAAAGAUAAGAGGGAAGAUAAAACCCUUGGAGUUCCUUUCUUAAGAUCAUAAAGAUGAUCCAAGAUGCUCCUUUCCUUUGGACUUAGCUAAUAACUCAAGUAAUCAAACAAAUAUUCAAUCAAGCUCUUAAGAUCUCCAUUUGGCUUGUCUUUCAUAACUUGGUUAUCCAUGACAAUGGUCCUUCUAAUUAUCUCAAGUUUGAAAUCCCUAUCACACAAAAAC